RNAcentral lists this ribosomal RNA (164 nucleotides) under uncultured bacterium. RNAcentral describes it as "partial 16S ribosomal RNA". It matches the Rfam family "Bacterial small subunit ribosomal RNA", at positions 355 to 511 of the family's 1533-position model. The record is from RNAcentral.
UAGGGAAUCUUCCACAAUGGACGAAAGUCUGAUGGAGCAACGCCGCGUGAGUGAAGAAGGGUUUCGGCUCGUAAAACUCUGUUGUUAAAGAAGAACAUAUCUGAGAGUAACUGUUCAGGUAUUGACGAUAUUUAACCAGAAAGCCACGGCUAACUACGUGCCAG